GGGGGUAUAGCUCAGUGGUAGAGCUUUUGAUUGCAGAUCAAGAGGUCCCUAGUUCAACUUUGGGUGCCCACU
This is a non-coding RNA of Lampris incognitus (smalleye Pacific opah), 72 nucleotides long. The record is from the annotation of a RefSeq genome assembly. NCBI's taxonomy places the organism in Eukaryota, Metazoa, Chordata, Actinopteri, Lampriformes, Lampridae.